UACGGCCAUAUGCCGUUGAAACAUUGGUUCUAGUACGAUCACCAAAGUUAAGCAACCUCGAGCCUGGUCAGUACCUAGAUGGGUGACCGUUUGAAAACACUAGAUGCUGCAAG
This is a non-coding RNA of Acanthosepion pharaonis, 113 nucleotides long. NCBI's taxonomy places the organism in Eukaryota, Metazoa, Mollusca, Cephalopoda, Sepiida, Sepiidae. The record is from the annotation of a GenBank genome assembly.